Molecule: ribosomal RNA, 395 nt
Filed under: uncultured Gammaproteobacteria bacterium
Lineage: Bacteria; Pseudomonadati; Pseudomonadota; Gammaproteobacteria
Description: bacterial SSU rRNA
Rfam family: Bacterial small subunit ribosomal RNA
Source: RNAcentral
GGGUGAGUAACGCGUAGGAAUCUACCUAGUAGUGGGGGACAACUCGGGGAAACUCGAGCUAAUACCGCAUACGCCCUACGGGGGAAAGCGGGGGACCUUCGGGCCUCGUGCUAUUAGAUGAGCCUGCGUUGGAUUAGCUAGUUGGUGGGGUAAAGGCCUACCAAGGCGACGAUCCAUAGCUGGUCUGAGAGGAUGAUCAGCCACACCGGGACUGAGACACGGCCCGGACUCCUACGGGAGGCAGCAGUGGGGAAUAUUGCGCAAUGGGCGAAAGCCUGACGCAGCCAUGCCGCGUGUGUGAAGAAGGCCUUCGGGUUGUAAAGCACUUUCAAUUGGGAGGAAAGGUUCACGGUUAAUAACCGUGAGCUGUGACGUUACCUUUAGAAGAAGCACCG